AAAGGAGAAGAAAGUUCUCUGUCCCUAGCUCAUCAGGGAGCACCUCCAGGGUAAUCCCACUCUCAGAGAAACAGAGAUGAGUCACCAGAAAGCCACAUUCUUUAGUUGUUCAAGGCCAACUUCCUAGCCUGAAUGAGAAUCUGUCCAAGCCAGCAGCUGCUUCAGGACGAGAAACCCUUCCCUGUUCCAGUCCAUAACACAUGUGGCUAAGAAUGGAUCAAGUCUGCCUUCAGGAGGGCCACACACAAGUCUAGCUCACACAUCAUCUAGCCCUGCUGUCUGCCUAGGAUGUAGGACAUGGGGCCUCAUGGAUUUAUAUUGUAUGAGUUGGCAGCACGUGGAAGCUAAUCAAAAUGAAACAUACAUAUGGCAAAUUACAUCCUGGAUUUUCCGGAACAACUGAAAUUUCAAAUAAUUUUGAUGUCGCCCCUACAAUUACAAUUUUGGGAUCAAAUCUCCUGAUUUGGGCUUCAGAGAAUGCAAUGCCAACAGGGAUGAUGCAGACGUGAAGACUAAGUCAAACUACGAGAGAUCUCAUAAACCAUUUAUAAAACAAAUGCAGAGAGAGAAGGCUGAGUGCUCUCUGCAGGGAACUCUACAGUCUACAACCAGAAUUUAGGACUCCCUAAUACCUAUUUCUCUCUGCCAAGUAUCUUGGACCCAAACUCCAGUGGCCUCUGAAAACUGAGACCUCUCUGAUCUCCAAGAAUAGACAAACUUGUGCAACAAGAGCUUUGAAGCAAGCAACUAUUGAGAGAUCAAAAGUCUAACCCACUUGGAGAAAAGAACAACAUCUCCCAAUCCUGAGUCUCGUGACCACCGCCCUAUAAUAAAUCACGUGUAGUUAUGCUACACACCCCUCAAA
Symphalangus syndactylus (siamang) is the source of this 865-nucleotide long non-coding RNA. RefSeq lists it as uncharacterized. The record is from RefSeq and is a predicted model, not a curated record. Lineage: Eukaryota; Metazoa; Chordata; Mammalia; Primates; Hylobatidae.